GACGAACGCUGGCGGCGUGCCUAACACAUGCAAGUCGAACGGAACUGUUUUGAAAGAUUUCUUCGGAAUGAAUUUGAUUUAGUUUAGUGGCGGACGGGUGAGUAACGCGUGAGUAACCUGCCUUCAAGAGGGGGAUAACAUUCUGAAAAGAAUGCUAAUACCGCAUGACAUAUCGGAACCACAUGGUUCUGAUAUCAAAGAUUUUAUCGCUUGAAGAUGGACUCGCGUCCGAUUAGUUAGUUGGUGAGGUAACGGCUCACCAAGACCGCGAUCGGUAGCCGGACUGAGAGGUUGAACGGCCACAUUGGGACUGAGACACGGCCCAGACUCCUACGGGAGGCAGCAGUGGGGGAUAUUGCGCAAUGGGGGCAACCCUGACGCAGCAACGCCGCGUGAAGGAUGAAGGUUUUCGGAUUGUAAACUUCUUUUAUUAAGGACGAAACUUGACGGUACUUAAUGAAUAAGCUCCGGCUA
RNAcentral lists this ribosomal RNA (474 nucleotides) under uncultured bacterium. RNAcentral describes it as "bacterial SSU rRNA". It matches the Rfam family "Bacterial small subunit ribosomal RNA", at positions 28 to 499 of the family's 1533-position model. The record is from RNAcentral.